RNAcentral lists this ribosomal RNA (813 nucleotides) under uncultured bacterium. Its description in RNAcentral is "bacterial SSU rRNA". It matches the Rfam family "Bacterial small subunit ribosomal RNA", at positions 8 to 794 of the family's 1533-position model. The record is from RNAcentral.
AGAGUUUGAUCAUGGCUCAGGACGAACGCUGGCGGCGUGCCUAAUACAUGCAAGUGGAACGCAAUGAAUUCUACCGUAGCUUGCUACACUUGAAUUGAUUGAGUCGCGAACGGGUGAGUAACGCGUAGGUAACCUACCUAUUAGCGGGGGAUAACUAUUGGAAACGAUAGCUAAUACCGCAUAAGAAUAGCUAACACAUGUUAACUAUUUAAAAGGAGCAAGAGCUCCACUAAGAGAUGGACCUGCGUUGUAUUAGCUAGUUGGUAAGGUAACGGCUUACCAAGGCAACGAUACAUAGCCGACCUGAGAGGGUGAUCGGCCACACUGGGACUGAGACACGGCCCAGACUCCUACGGGAGGCAGCAGUAGGGAAUCUUCGGCAAUGGGGGGAACCCUGACCGAGCAACGCCGCGUGAGUGAAGAAGGUUUUCGGAUCGUAAAGCUCUGUUAUAAGCGAAGAACGGGAGUAAGAGUGGAAAGUUUACUCUGUGACGGUAGCUUAUCAGAAAGGGACGGCUAACUACGUGCCAGCAGCCGCGGUAAUACGUAGGUCCCGAGCGUUGUCCGGAUUUAUUGGGCGUAAAGCGAGCGCAGGUGGUUUAAUAAGUCUGAAGUUAAAGGCAUUGGCUCAACCAAUGUACGCUUUGGAAACUGUUAAACUUGAGUGCAGAAGGGGAGAGUGGAAUUCCAUGUGUAGCGGUGAAAUGCGUAGAUAUAUGGAGGAACACCGGUGGCGAAAGCGGCUCUCUGGUCUGUAACUGACACUGAGGCUCGAAAGCGUGGGUAGCGAACAGGAUUAGAUACCCUGGUAGU